GAAAACAUAUACGUAAUUCUCAUCUCCUUUACACAACUUUCUCUCUAAAACCUCAAUCUUCUCACUUCGAGAACUUACCCGAAUCUCAUAUUCUUCUUGAUCAGAGGUUGUUUUUGUAGUCACCGUGAAGAAUGCUACGAAACCCACUGUUUGAAAUCGUGCAUGGAAUAGUGGUUUCGUGGGAGGAAGCUGUGGAAAAAUGUGAACAUCUUUUUGGAGUAGAGAAACCCUAGCUAUCAGAGAGGCAUAAGGCAGCCUAGGGAAACAUCUUGGAAGCAUUCUGGAGCAUAAAGGGCUGUGUUUCAAAGAGGAUUGAGGGUUGUUGUUGAAGGUGUCAAGGGAGGUAUUGUUGACCAAGAAGAAGCUCUAAAAUUCUCAAGUUUUAGCAAGGAAAUCCAUGUUAGGGGAGCUACGGGUAGCGGGUAGUGGGUAAUUUAAUACCCGUUUCUUAACGGGUCGGGGUCGGGUAUCAUAUACCCGUACCCGCGGGUAUCCGCUACCUGUUAAGAAAAUGAAAUUACAUAUUUAUCCUUUUUAGGUUAUGAGAUAUUAGGUUGAUGCUGAAGUUCAUUUCUUUUUUUGGCUCAUUGCUGCCGUCCAAGUGCUCUGGGAUUGUCGAAGAGUUUUCUCGUGUUGCAUCUUUCGAAGGUUGUCCUCCAAUCCUUUAAAUUUCGGGUGAAGCUUCAAAAGGGAAUGUCUAAUCAAGAUACAUUUUUCCCUAUGGAUGAUGGCCAACAAGGAACAUUUGUAGAACUAAAUGCAAAUGUAGGAGAUUCAAAUCAAAAUGAUGUUCCUAUAGAUUCUAUUCCAGGAGAAACCGAAAGUUCAACUCCAACUGUUAAUUAAGAAGACUACUGUCAGAUGUUUGGAAUCACUUUAAGAGACAAAAGGUAGAUGGAAAAUAGAAAGCGAUAUGCAAUUAUUGCCCCAAAAGUCUUUUGGGUGACGCAAAGCAAGGUACAUCACAUUUGGGAAGCCAUUUCAAGAGUUGCAAGCUUCAGACAACACGGGACAUCAGACAAUCCUUUUUAAAAACUCAUAAAGAAGGUGGUGAAACUGUAGUUGUUGGAAACUAUGUUUUUAAUUAACAAACAGCUAGAGAUAUACUCCGUAAGAUGAUAAUUCUACAUGAGUAUCCAAUGUCAAUGGUUGAUCAUAUAGGCUUUAAAGAAUUUUGUGAUGCUGUUCAACCACUAUUCAAGGUGAUUUCUCGAAACACCUUAAAAAAGAUAUUAUGAAGGAUUAGAAUGUAGAAAAAGAGAAGAUGAAAUUAAUGUUGUCAAGGAUUCAAAGUCGAGUUGCAAUUACCACUGAUAUGUGGACUGCUACUAAUGAAAAUGAAGGCUACAUGACUAUAACAACUCAUUUUAUUGAUGAUUUAUGGAGGCUACAAAGUCGACUUAUGAGGUUUAUGUAUGUGCCUGUUCCUCAUACUAGUCAAGUUCUUGCUGAAUUGUUGGUUGAAUGCUUAAUGGAUUGGAAUCUAGAUAGAAAAGUUUCUACUUUGACAGUCGAUAAUUGCACUACGAAUGGUGCUAUGAUUGAUCGCAUUUUAGAUAAGCUCUCAAGUAGGUCUCUUAUUUUGGGUGGCCAACUAUUUCACAUGCGAUGUUGUGCACAUAUAUUGAAUUUGAUUGUGAAGGAUGGUUUGUCCAUAAUUGCUAAUGUCAUUGAAAAGGUUAGAGACAAUGCUAAUUUUUGGACAGCUACACCAAAAAGAGAAGAGAAAUUUAUAGAGACAGGUGCUCAAUUGAAUAUUCAAUUCAAAAGAAAAUUAGUUGUUGAUUGAAGAACUAGGUGGAAUUCUACAUUUUUAAUGCUUCAAGUAGCCAUACAAUACAAGGAAGUAUUUGAUCGUUUAUCACAACGAGAGAGUCAAUAUAAAGCUUUGCCCAAUACACAUGAUUGGCAAAUGGCAAAUGAAAUUUGUCAAAAUUUGGAAAUAUUUUAUGAUGUGACACUCUUGUUUUCUGGUACUUAUCCAACUGCGAACAUUUUUUUUCCAAAGGUAUGCCAAAUUAAGUUGGCUUUGAUGGAACGGCUUAACUCUUCCAAUUCUAUUAUUCAUCAAAUGACUGCAUCUAUGGUUUUAAAGUUUGUUAAGUAUUAGGGUGUGAUAAGUGGAGUGAUGGCUAUAGGUAUUGUGUUAGACCCCAGGUAUAAAAUUGAUUUGUUGGAUUACUUUUUCCCUCAGAUAUAUGGUGAUCAAUCUGAUUGUGAAAUUGAAAAGGUGAAGAUUCUUUUUAAGGACUUGGUAAGAGAGUAUGAAAUAAACAUGAAAGGUAAGAAGUUAGUUUCUUCAUGUCAAAAUCCAAACAUAACUAUAUGCCAAAGUGUUGAUGGAAGAAAAGAUGUUUGGAGGAGAGAUUUUGCAAAACAUCAGAUUGCAAAGAAAAGUGAACCAUCAAAUUAUAAGUUGGAACUUGACUAUUACUUGGAGGAACCGACACUACCUGAUUCAGAUGAAUAAUUUGACAUUUUAGUUUGGUGGAAGGCUAAUGGAUUAAAAUACCCAAUUUUUCAAAUGAUUGCAAGAGAUUUUCUAGCCAUUCUGAUCUCAACAGUUGCAUUUGAGUCUUCUUUUAGUACUGGUGGUCGAUUUCUUACUCCACAUCAUAGUAGAUUACAACCAGACACUUUAGAGGCAUUGAUGUGUGUUCAAGAUUGGCUAUGGACUAACAUAGAAGGUUCUUCAAAAUUGAAAGUGGACAAGAUGAAGCUUAAUACAAUACUAGAGGAGAUAAUUGAUGAUGAUGAAUCAAGUGGUCAACAUGAAGAUAUUGGAGAGGAAACAUAGAUCUUAGACUAUUAUUUUUAGAAGAAUUAUUUUUUAAAUUUCUUAUAUUUGGGAUGUAUGUUUUAGGUACUAUUAAUUUAAAUUUAUGUUUUAACUUUUAUUUAGUUGUUCAUUAACUUCUAUUUGGA
Long non-coding RNA from Vigna unguiculata (cowpea), 2925 nucleotides. NCBI's taxonomy places the organism in Eukaryota, Viridiplantae, Streptophyta, Magnoliopsida, Fabales, Fabaceae. The record is from RefSeq and is a predicted model, not a curated record.